Wallemia sebi is the source of this 91-nucleotide transfer RNA. It matches the Rfam family "tRNA". From Rfam's summary of the family: Transfer RNA (tRNA) molecules are approximately 80 nucleotides in length. The record is from Rfam. Lineage: Eukaryota; Fungi; Basidiomycota; Wallemiomycetes; Wallemiales; Wallemiaceae.
GGUCGCUUAACUCAGUUGGUUAGAGUGUGGAGCUAAUAUGCGGAAUAUCGCGGAUACUCCAAAGCCACAAGUUCGAGCCUUGUAGUGACCA